Molecule: small nuclear RNA, 141 nt
Organism: Thalassophryne amazonica
Lineage: Eukaryota; Metazoa; Chordata; Actinopteri; Batrachoidiformes; Batrachoididae
Product: U4 spliceosomal RNA
Exons: 1
Source: RefSeq, a predicted model, not a curated record
GUGCAUGAGCAGUGUCAGUAUCAUAGCCGAUGAGGUUUCACUGAGGCACGAUUAUUGCUAGUGGAAAAUAAUUCCAGUGUGACAUUAUCAACAAGAGAUAAUUUAACUUUUAUAUCUAAUUGUUGCAUCAUAUAACAUUGA